Molecule: long non-coding RNA, 576 nt
Organism: Homo sapiens (human)
Lineage: Eukaryota; Metazoa; Chordata; Mammalia; Primates; Hominidae
Source: Ensembl
AGCUGCUGAACGGUGGCCCCAUGGUGCGCGCAGGCUGGUGUGCGGAGCGUGCGGAACCAGCGGAGCGGGAUCGGCGUGAGCAGCGUACUGGCUGGUCUCAAACUCCUGAUCCCAGUGAUCCGCCCGCCUCGGCCUCACAAAGUGCUGGGAUUACAGCUGUUUUACCAUGAUGUGCUUAGGUGUUCUUUCAUUUGUAUUCAUCCUAUUUGAGGUUUGUAUAUGCAUUUUCUAUUUGUUUCUCUAUGCAUCAGUCUGUAUAUUUUUACCAACUUACAGUUCAUGAAUCUUUUCAUCAGCUGUAUGCAAUUUGCUAUUAGACCCAUUAGGUGUAUUCUUGAUUUUGCUUAUAUAUUUUUAAUUCUAAAAUUCGUAUUUUUUAUAAUUUCCAUUUCUCUGCUGAAAUUCUUCAAUUUGCCAUCAACUUGUUGAGGGUAUUAAUCACAAUUUAAACAAAUUCAUGUCUAAUUACUCUAAUGAGGUUUUGGUAGAUCUAUUACUAUUAUAUAUUAUUCUCUUGAUUUUUGGUCAAGUGUUCUUGUAUCCUGGUAAUUUUGGAUUUAAUGCUAGAUGUCAUAU